This 107-nucleotide ribosomal RNA is filed under the name Pogona vitticeps (central bearded dragon). The record is from RNAcentral. Lineage: Eukaryota; Metazoa; Chordata; Lepidosauria; Squamata; Agamidae.
UCAUGCAACUUUGAACACACUGAUCAUGGCUGACUCUGGAAAUUAAGCAGGGUCAGGCCUGGGUAAUACUUAGAUGAGAAGCCACAAGGGAAUACUGAGUACAUAAC